UUCAGACUUUCAACAAUAUAAUUUUUGUAAUGUGAAGUGUCAGGGUUGCUUCAACAUUGUGACCACUAUAAUUCAGCCUUUGUCCCGGUUUCCUUCGCAUUAGCAAUCAAGAGGGGGAUAACUCGCAUUUGAUUGGCUAAUAUUCUUUGAAGGAAGGAUAAAUAAUAAGCUGACAAUGAAACGAACGGUUAGUGAAGUGGAAAAAGUGAGUGAACAAAAUACUGAAGUUUCAACUUCAAAAUCAUCCUAACCACCUCCGAAAAAGAGACGAGGCCUGACACGAUGCAAGAAUGUCGUAAACGCGACAACUUUUUUACCAUUAAGGGUUAAUAAGUAUGGACAGCCGAUCAGCCUUGGAAGUGGUACAUAUACUAAUUAUUUGGGAACACUUGCCCGAAAUGGUAAAUUAGCUCCUUUGUGCUACAAAACUUGGUGGGAGAUGCCUAAAUGGCUUAACGAGGAUAUAUGGAACAUUGUAAAGAGAAAGUAUGAUGUGGAAAUCAUGUCAAAAUAGUGGACAUUAUCCUCCAUCGGGAAAAAAUGGAGGGGGUACAAGUGUAAAUUAAAAAGUGAAUACUACUCAGUUAGGGAUACUGAUGCAGAAAGAUUGGCAAAUCCACCAGCUGAUGUUGAAAAGGAGCAAUGGGAAUUUUUGGUUAGACAUUGGGGUACGCCUAUGGCGAAGGAAAAUUUAUACAUACAUAUACUGGUUAUAUAUAUGCAAUGGAGGUUUGUGUGCCGGCGCAUGAAACAUGGGUUAAUAAUCGAGUGUGAGCGAGUAUAGAAGAUGGGGUGCACGCGGAUUCUGGGCCACAGAUGCAUUGAGGUGAUGUUGAAAAUAAUCCAGUGUAUCGCGGGACACAUUAAUAUGGUGCGCACAUUUGUUCAAAUUCUACUUUUCCGGACACUGCGGGGCCUGUUCGGGGCACUUUUUGAGAUUUUCGAUAAAUAGGGAGCUAUAGAAAGAAAAAUCAGAUUUUCUCUCUCUUUCUCUCUCCCAUGGCCGGCCCUAGCUCCUCCCAUGGCUGCCAUCUUCUCUCUCCUCUUUUGAGCCUCUUCCCUUCAAUGAAAAGUCAUAGUGCCUCGCGUUUUAUGUUUGCCUUGGCGAGGCCUUUGAUUCCACCGAUUGGAAUCUCGUUUUGGCAAUUUCUUGAGUUCGGGUUUGAAGUCAAGUUGUGAUUUUUAUAGGGCUUCCUUUGGGUUCUUGUUCACCGUGUUGUUCUCGAAAAAACCUAGAAGUUUCGUCGGAUUCGGAGCCGUUUCAUUUCGGUGGGGAUUUGAGAUUUCAUCUCAAAUGGAGGUAGGGGAUGUUUUAGGAUUUUGUAUGUGUUU
Cornus florida is the source of this 1332-nucleotide long non-coding RNA. RefSeq lists it as uncharacterized. The record is from RefSeq and is a predicted model, not a curated record. NCBI's taxonomy places the organism in Eukaryota, Viridiplantae, Streptophyta, Magnoliopsida, Cornales, Cornaceae. The transcript has 6 exons.